AUUGAACGCUGGCGGCAGGCCUAACACAUGCAAGUCGAGCGGGGGGCGGACGGGUGAGGACUAGCUGUGAGACUGGCUGAGGGAGGGGGAGAACGGCAGGGAACGGUAGCUAAGACCGCAUACCAUCAGAUGUGGGCAGGUGUGAUUAGCUGGUGGGUGGGGUAACGGCUCACCAAGGCGACGAUCCCUUGCUGGUCUGAGAGGAUGAUCAGUCACACUGGAACUGAGACACGGUCCAGACUCCUACGGGAGGCAGCAGUGGGGAAUAUUGCACAAUGGGCGCAAGCCUGAUGCAGCCAUGCCGCGUGUGUGAAGAAGGCCUUCGGGUUGUAAAGCACUUUAAGCGGGGAGGCGUUACCCGCAGAAGAAGCACCGGCUAACUCCGUGCCAGCAGCCGCGGUAAUAC
RNAcentral lists this ribosomal RNA (406 nucleotides) under uncultured bacterium. RNAcentral's name for it is "partial 16S ribosomal RNA". It matches the Rfam family "Bacterial small subunit ribosomal RNA", at positions 29 to 526 of the family's 1533-position model. The record is from RNAcentral.